AAGAGGCUGGGUUGGCGGAUUGGGGAUGGUUAGAAAGUUUCUAUUAGGGAAGACGUUUGGAUACCUGGAGAUGAACAUAUCAGAAUUUAGAAUAUGAAUAAUAAUCAGAGUCUCAUUAAAGUUGCGGAUCUAAUUGAUACAAAUUCUAAACAAUAGAAGUCUGAUCUGAUCCAUUUUACCUUUGAAGAACAGAUUGUAGAAAGGAUUCUCUGUAUUCCUCUUCCUUUGUUUGAGUAUGAAGACUCUCUUAUUUGGUGGGGUGAGUUGUUAGGUGAGUACUUAGUUCGAAGUGGUCACAGACUUCUUUUACAAGACGGACAUAAUCAAUUACAUAUAGAUCACAAGCAAUUUUACAAAAAAUUAUGGAAAUUAGAUUUACCCUCUAAAACCAAAAUUAUAGUCUGGAGAUUGUUAUGCAACUAUCUGCCUAGUUUUAGUAAUCUUCACUUUUGCAUAAUGAUGGCUUCCCCCACGUGUCAAAUAUGUCAAACAGGAGCAGAAACAAGGGAACAUAUAUUUCAGGAAUGUUCUCAUACAAAAGAUACAUGAGAGCAGUUACAUAUGGCAUGGCUUCCAGAUGACAACUCAGACUUUACAGUUUGGUUGAAAAAUACCUUUGAGUCCAGAUCCAUGGCUUUGUGUAGAAUAACAGUAUGUGUUUUAUGAGCGAUAUGGACGUGUCGAAACAAAUUUUUUCAUGAGGGGGAAAACCAAUCAGGUGUUCAAAUUGCUAGUUUUGUGCAAAAUUAUUUAAAGAAACUUGAUGGUCUAAAAAGCUCUAUACCUAAAAAAAAGAUCUGUGUAGACAGAUGGCCUGCUCCGAUGGGAUCAAGAUUGAAAUUAAACUUCGACGCAGCUUUAACAACCACAACAAUGAGUCGUACUCGGGGUUAGUGAUUCGUAACAGUAAAGCAGAGGUCAUUUGUUCUAAAACAGAAAUGAACUUGAACAUACCGUCUGUUUUUGCCGUAGAAGUAGUGGCGUGUCUUCAGGCACUGAAGUUGGGGUUACAACUUAGGUUGAGGGAGGUGGAGGUUGAAUGUGACUCUCGGUCGGUCAUCCGGAAGCUGCAAGAGGAAAAUGAGGACAGAUCUGAGAUUUCUGUGUAUAUCAAAGAUUCUUAGAACCUUAGUUGUCAAAUUUAGUCUUUGUGUUUUUUCUUUUUACAAACAGGGAGUCUAACAAAGUCACUCAUUGUUUAGCACAAGAAGGACUUAAGAAUAGAGAAACCACUUAUUUGUCAAAUCUGGUAUUUUCUAGUGCGACGGAGGCGGUGGCUGAAUAUAGAAGGUGGACCAAGGCGAUGAGUGAGGACAGGGGAAUAAUAUAUGAAAGGGCUGAAGAAAGUGUUUUGCAAUUUUGAUUAUGGUGAGAGUUUCAAUUGGGUUUUUUCAAUGUGCAUCGGGGUAAUGAAAAGUUUUGAUAGGAUAGAUAUGAUGGGUAAUUAAAGCACCUGUUGGUUUUGCUUCCCCAUGCGGUUUCUUGCUAUUUUCCAAAAGGGGUUUCAAUUAUUGGAGUUAACUAGAGAACGAUGUCUCUAGAGCUCCCCUUAUUGCUGUUUGCUGGAUUUUGUUUUUGGGCUAUUUUUCGGUUUUGCUUUGGAUUAUUUUUGUUUUAGGCUUUUGUUUGUUUGGUUUUUUAGUCUGUUUGUUCAGACUGGUCUUUUAAGACCCAUGACCUUAUGGCUUUGAUUUUGUGUUGGCCUUUUUGAAUAAAAUCCAGCGAUUAUU
This 1730-nucleotide long non-coding RNA is filed under the name Gossypium barbadense (sea-island cotton). RNAcentral describes it as "long non-coding RNA (GBAR_LNC012833)". The record is from RNAcentral. Lineage: Eukaryota; Viridiplantae; Streptophyta; Magnoliopsida; Malvales; Malvaceae.